UGGAGGAUGAUGGAAGGGGUAGACAUUCCCUGAGGGGAUGGCGGCAGCCGUUGAAGGUUCGAAUCCUUCUCCUCCAACCA
This 80-nucleotide transfer RNA is filed under the name Shigella phage Ag3. RNAcentral's name for it is "tRNA-Ser". It matches the Rfam family "tRNA". Rfam says of the family: Transfer RNA (tRNA) molecules are approximately 80 nucleotides in length. Their secondary structure includes four short double-helical elements and three loops (D, anti-codon, and T loops). Further hydrogen bonds mediate the characteristic L-shaped molecular structure. tRNAs have two regions of fundamental functional importance: the anti-codon, which is responsible for specific mRNA codon recognition, and the 3' end, to which the tRNAs corresponding amino acid is attached (by aminoacyl-tRNA synthetases). tRNAs cope with the degeneracy of the genetic code in two manners: having more than one tRNA (with a specific anti-codon) for a particular amino acid; and 'wobble' base-pairing, i.e. permitting non-standard base-pairing at the 3rd anti-codon position. Lineage: Duplodnaviria; Heunggongvirae; Uroviricota; Caudoviricetes; Pantevenvirales; Ackermannviridae. The record is from RNAcentral. RNAcentral also lists the same sequence under 1 other name.